This 253-nucleotide ribosomal RNA is filed under the name uncultured bacterium. Its description in RNAcentral is "partial 16S ribosomal RNA". It matches the Rfam family "Bacterial small subunit ribosomal RNA", at positions 524 to 776 of the family's 1533-position model. The record is from RNAcentral.
UACGUAGGUGGCAAGCGUUGUCCGGAAUUAUUGGGCGUAAAGCGCGCGCAGGCGGUCCCUUAAGUCUGAUGUGAAAGCCCACGGCUCAACCGUGGAGGGUCAUUGGAAACUGGGGGACUUGAGUGCAGAAGAGGAAAGUGGAAUUCCAUGUGUAGCGGUGAAAUGCGUAGAGAUGUGGAGGAACACCAGUGGCGAAGGCGACUUUCUGGUCUGUAACUGACGCUGAGGUGCGAAAGCGUGGGGAGCAAACAGG